AUUUGCUGUUAAAGGGGUGGGAUCGAAAUUGGGAUCAAUCUGUUUGAGAUAUAAUUCAUGGGCAAGCAACUUAUCUUGAAGUUCGUCAAAUGAAAUGACAGUAUCUCUGGCAUGGGUUGCCGCUGUAAUGUCAUGGAACUCUAAGCCAAUUCCACCCAGGACAUGAACGAUGAGAUCAACAUCAUAUACGGGACUGCCACACAGGAAGAGUUCUUCCGCAAUGGAUUUGAUAAGCUGAAGAUAUUCAGCAACUGGGCGAGAAUCACAUUUGGUUCAUGAUAGCUUUUCUAGUAAAGAAAGAAUUCGUGUAGCCGAUUUAUUUGCAAAGGCUACCUGAAGUUUGUUCCAUGCCUCCGCUGAGGUUUUAGAAUCUGCAAUGGUGUUCAUAAACGAGAAGGAAACCGAAGCAAUGAUAGCAGCUAGGAUUAACUGAUCUUGGCAUUCCCAAAACUCAUAAUCUGGAUUAGAAAUGUGAGUACCAUUUUUCUCAA
Molecule: unclassified non-coding RNA, 491 nt
Filed under: Hevea brasiliensis (rubber tree)
Lineage: Eukaryota; Viridiplantae; Streptophyta; Magnoliopsida; Malpighiales; Euphorbiaceae
Source: RNAcentral